This 253-nucleotide ribosomal RNA is filed under the name uncultured bacterium. RNAcentral's name for it is "partial 16S ribosomal RNA". It matches the Rfam family "Bacterial small subunit ribosomal RNA", at positions 524 to 776 of the family's 1533-position model. The record is from RNAcentral.
UACAGAGGGUGCGAGCGUUAAUCGGAAUUACUGGGCGUAAAGCGUGCGCAGGCGGUUCUGCAAGUCAGUUGUGAAAGCCCCGGGCUUAACCUGGGAAUUGCGGUUGAAACUACAGGGCUAGAAUCUGGCAGAGGGGGGUGGAAUUCCACGUGUAGCAGUGAAAUGCGUAGAGAUGUGGAGGAACACCGAUGGCGAAGGCAGCCCCCUGGGCUGAGAUUGACGCUCAGGCACGAAAGCGUGGGGAGCAAACAGG